GAAAUUCCACUUUCCUCUAUCAUACUCUAGCUAAAAAGUUUUGAUGGCAGUUCCAAGGUUGAGCCUUGGGAUUUCACCAUCAACUAUUUUAACCACCUACGAACUCUUUAAGCCCAGUAAUUCCGAACUACGCUAGGUCCCUUCGUAUUACCGCGGCUGCUGGCACGAAGUUAGCCGGACCUUCUUAUUCGGGUACAGUCAUUUUCUUCCCCGACGAAAGAGUUUUACAACCCAAAGGCCUUCUUCACUCACGCGGCAUCGCUGCAUCAGGGUUUCCCCCAUUGUGCAAGAUUCCCCACUGCUGCCUCCCGUAGGAGUUUGGGCCGUGUCUCAGUCCCAAUGUGGCUGGUCUUCCUCUAAGAACAGCUAUUGAUCGUUGCCUUGGUAAGCUUUUACCUUACCAACUAGCUAAUCAAGUGCGGGCUCAUCUUUUGGCAUUAAAACUUUCCCUGUAAAGGCUUAUCCGGUAUUAGCACAAGUUUCCUCGUGUUAUUCCGAACCAAAAGGCAGAUUCCCACAUUAUACUCACCCGUUUGCCACUCAGUAUUGCUACUGCGUUCGACUUGCAUGUGUUAGGCGUGCCGCCAGCGUACGUUCUGAGCCAGGAUUCAAACUCU
This 617-nucleotide ribosomal RNA is filed under the name uncultured bacterium. Its description in RNAcentral is "partial 16S ribosomal RNA". The record is from RNAcentral.